Molecule: ribosomal RNA, 431 nt
Filed under: uncultured bacterium
Lineage: Bacteria
Description: bacterial SSU rRNA
Rfam family: Bacterial small subunit ribosomal RNA
Source: RNAcentral
AACGAACGCUGGCGGCAGGCCUAACACAUGCAAGUCGAGCGCGCCUUCGGGUGAGCGGCGACGGGUUAGUAACGCGUGGGAACGUGCCCUUCUCUACGGAAUAGCCUCUGGAAACGGAGAGUAAUACCGUAUACGCCCUUUGGGGGAAAGAUUUUAUCGGAGAAGGAUCGGCCCGCGUUAGAUUAGGUAGUUGGUGGGGUAAUGGCCUACCAAGUCUACGAUCUAUAGCUGGUUUUAGAGGAUGAUCAGCAACACUGGGACUGAGACACGGCCCAGACUCCUACGGGAGGCAGCAGUGGGGAAUCUUGGGCAAUGGGCGCAAGCCUGAUCCAGCCAUGCCGCGUGAGUGAUGAAGGCCUUAGGGUCGUAAAGCUCUUUCGCCAGAGAUGAUAAUGACAGUAUCUGGUAAAGAAACCCCGGCUAACUCCGUG